Molecule: ribosomal RNA, 253 nt
Filed under: uncultured bacterium
Lineage: Bacteria
Description: partial 16S ribosomal RNA
Rfam family: Bacterial small subunit ribosomal RNA
Source: RNAcentral
UACGUAGGGGGCCAGCGUUGUUCGGAAUUACUGGGCGUAAAGCGCGCGUAGGCGGCUUUUCAAGUCAGGGGUGAAAUCCUGGGGCUUAACCCCAGAAUUGCCCUUGAAACUGUAAAGCUUGAGUGUCGGAGGGGAUAGCGGAAUUCCUAAUGUAGAGGUGAAAUUCGUAGAUAUUAGGAGGAACACCGGUGGCGAAGGCGGCUAUCUGGACGACAACUGACGCUGAGGCGCGAAAGCGUGGGGAUCAAACAGG